This 292-nucleotide ribosomal RNA is filed under the name uncultured bacterium. RNAcentral's name for it is "partial 16S ribosomal RNA". It matches the Rfam family "Bacterial small subunit ribosomal RNA", at positions 505 to 796 of the family's 1533-position model. The record is from RNAcentral.
GUGUCAGCAGCCGCGGUAAUACGUAGGGGGCGAGCGUUGUCCGGAAUUAUUGGGCGUAAAGAGCGUGUAGGCGGUUCGGUAAGUCUGUCGUGAAAUCCUGGGGCUCAACCUCGGGCGUGCGAUGGAUACUGCCGGGCUAGAGGGUGGUAGAGGCGAGUGGAAUUCCCGGUGUAGCGGUGAAAUGCGCAGAUAUCGGGAGGAACACCAGUAGCGAAGGCGGCUCGCUGGGCCACACCUGACGCUGAGACGCGAAAGCUAGGGGAGCGAACAGGAUUAGAUACCCGAGUAGUCC